RNAcentral lists this ribosomal RNA (454 nucleotides) under uncultured bacterium. RNAcentral's name for it is "bacterial SSU rRNA". It matches the Rfam family "Bacterial small subunit ribosomal RNA", at positions 340 to 786 of the family's 1533-position model. The record is from RNAcentral.
UACGGAAGGCAGCAGUGGGGAAUAUUGCACAAUGGGCGCAAGCCUGAUGCAGCCAUGCCGCGUGUAUGAAGAAGGCCUUCGGGUUGUAAAGUACUUUCAGUCGUGAGGAAGGUGUUAAGGUUAAUAACCUUAGCAAUUGACGUUAGCGACAGAAGAAGCACCGGCUAACUCCGUGCCAGCAGCCGCGGUAAUACGGAGGGUGCGAGCGUUAAUCGGAAUUACUGGGCGUUAAAGGGCACGCAGGCGGUUAAUUAAGUUGGAUGUGAAAUCCCCGGGCUUAACCUGGGAAUGGCAUUCAAGACUGGUUAGCUAGAGUCUUGUAGAGGGGGUAGAAUUCCAUGUGUAGCGGUGAAAUGCGUAGAGAUGUGGAGGAAUACCGGUGGCGAAGGCGGCCCCUGGACAAAGACUGACGCUCAUGUGCGAAAGCGUGGGGAGCAAACAGGGAUUAGAUACC